Molecule: long non-coding RNA, 250 nt
Filed under: Vigna radiata
Lineage: Eukaryota; Viridiplantae; Streptophyta; Magnoliopsida; Fabales; Fabaceae
Description: long non-coding RNA (VRAD_LNC006476)
Source: RNAcentral
GUCCAGGCCCAAAACAGAUCAUAAAAAUAACAGAAAACAGGUCUAGAUCCAACAGUGCACCGCCCAACACUGGGUUCCACUACCCGACAGUCGGUGCGGCACCCAGAAUGGCCGCUCAACGCUGUCCAGCUGAAAAUUAGUUAAAUAUUGGUCAACUACCGCCUCAGCGCUUCCUGCGGCACAAAACUGCAUUCUGGUUAACUGGUUGACUGGUUGACUUUUCUACACUACAACUGCUUAAGACUUCAAC